GACGAACGCUGGCGGCGUGCUUAACACAUGCAAGUCGAACGGAAAGGCCCUGCUUGCAGGGUUCUCGAGUGGCGAACGGGUGAGUAACACGUGGGUGAUCUGCCCUGCACUUCGGGAUAAGCCUCGUCAACUGGGUCUAAUACCGGAUAGGAGCCAUUUUUAGCGUGAUGGUUGGAAAGUUUUUUCGGUGUAGGAUGAGCUCACGGCCUAUCAGCUUGUUGGUGGGGUAAUGGCCUACCAAGGCGGCGACGGGUAGCCGGCCUGAGAGGGUGGACGGCCACAUUGGGACUUAGAUACGGCCCAGACUCCUACGGGAGGCAGAAGUGGGGAAUAUUGCACAAUGGGCGCAAGCCUGAUGCAGCGACGCCGCGUGGGGGAUGACGGCCUUCGGGUUGUAAACUCCUUUCGCUAGGGACGAAGCUUUUUGUGACGGUACCUAGAGAAGAAGCACCGGCUAACUACGUG
Molecule: ribosomal RNA, 465 nt
Filed under: uncultured bacterium
Lineage: Bacteria
Description: partial 16S ribosomal RNA
Rfam family: Bacterial small subunit ribosomal RNA
Source: RNAcentral